CCUACGGGGGGCAGCAGUGAGGAAUAUUGGUCAAUGGACGGAAGUCUGACCCAGCCAUGCCGCGUGCAGGAAGACGGCUCUAUGAGUUUUAAGCUGCUUUUGUACAAGGGUAAACCUGAAUACGUGUAUUCAGCUAAAAGUACUGUACGAAUAAGGAUCGGCAAACUCCGUGCCAGCAGCCGCGGUAAUACGGAGGAUCCAAGCGUUAUCCGGAUUUAUUGGGGUUAAAGGGUGCGUAGUCGGGCUGUUACGUCAGCGGUAAAAGCCCGGGGCUCAACCCCGGCUAGCCGUUGAAACUGGCUGUCUUGAGAUGUCGAGAGGUAUGCGGAAUGCGCAGUGUAGCGGUGAAAUGCGUAGAGAUUGCGCAGAACUCCGAUUGCGAAGGCAGGAUACCGGCGGCGAUCUGACGCUGAGGCACGAAAGCGUGGGUAUCGAACAGGAUUAGAUACCCGAGUAGUC
Molecule: ribosomal RNA, 459 nt
Filed under: uncultured bacterium
Lineage: Bacteria
Description: partial 16S ribosomal RNA
Rfam family: Bacterial small subunit ribosomal RNA
Source: RNAcentral